UUCGUCUGCUCCCAUGGCCUCCGCAUUGCUCGCCGAGCAGGAAAUAUGUCCACUUGGGGCGAGCGAAGACGACGACGAUUUAGGGCAUCUACUGAUUGCGGAACAAGAUUUGUUUCGUGAGCAUCUGCCUCACUUGGGCACCACGACUUGCUUCUGUAAUUCUUCGACUAUGUUCUCUUAAUCUGAUGCCAGCAUACUUUUGCAGGAUCACUUUCGCCAGUGAAAUUAUGUGAUCAGGCUCCUCUGCAUAGUGCUGGCACAGUGGUAGCUUGUCAUCGUGUGUUAGGAUGAAGUGAUUAAACGAUUUCAAAACGAUCACCCGCACUACAAGCUUCACAGACCUCAAUUUCUCGAGACGAAAGGUCUGCUCAGCGCAACACAGCAGACGUGUAACAAAGGAGGAUGGUUUAACCAGCCCUCCAUUGUCCCUGAGCAUGAUGAGAACACUUGAUGUCUCGUCAUCUAGGAGUGUGUCCAAACAACCAUUACAGGUGAGUUUUGAGGAGACAAUUCUAACAACAUAUCCUCCAAUAUAGGCAACAAUGUCCUCGCUGAACCUGCUGAGUCUGGAUGAUUCCCCGUAGUCAUGGUCAGCACACUGUAGAAGGGCACAGAUGUUGUCCUCUGCAGGAACUUCUGCAGUGGGAGUCUCCUCACCUGCACUUUCCUCCCUUCGCGGCUUGCCCUGGUGACCGAGUGUCUCUAUGCCUUCCACUGUAGGCGCGACAUUCGCAGAGCUUGGGGCCUGAACUUCAGCGUGUAUGAGAAGCUUCCUGUAGGCAUGACGGAAUUGGGAAGCUGAUGGGUUGUUAUUCCAUCCUCCUCUUUGCCUGAUGCAGCUGAAGAACAGUUCCAAGUGGUCCUGGCUGAGGCGACCUCUACAUGUUACCUGCAUGCGCCCGCCUGGAACAGCGCUUCUGCCAGCUGUGCAACACUUUUUAGCGUAAAGGCCACGCUGAUGACUGACAUGCGUCUCCCAUGCUAAGCAGCUAGCUCCCCGGAUGGAAGUCGCAGUGUCAUCAUUCUUGACGACAAUCUUUAGUGGCCACAGUCAUGAAAAUGAAAGGCCUACUCAUCUACGUCGGCAAUGAACGAAGCGGUUGCGUCACUUCCUUCAAAUUCGGUCAAUCCCAGGAGCCGUGCGUGGGUCAGGGCUUUGCUCACGGAUGAACUUAGAGUCUGCGCUGCAAGGCGGACCUUCAUGAUCUGGCGGCCAAACUCAAUAUGGGAUCUGGGUCAGUUGCAGCCGUCGACGGACACCACGCAGGUACUGGUUCUUCUCUCGAAGUUGUCUCAUUCCUGUUCUUGGCGUUGUUUUGCUGUGAUAGGUGUGCUCCUUGUGACCCUUGGGUGUGAUCGGGCUGCCCUCAGUAUCUGUGUUGCUCACAGACACCUGCAAAGUUGCCUGUUGGUUAAGGACAGUGUGGCGGCCCGUGUGUGAUGUUCGAUCCUUACGUUCGACGUCCGGGUCACCAAUGUUGGGAGUUCUAAAUAACGACAACCUGUUCGGUUAGUGGCGAGAGCCCAACUGAUGGUUUAAUGAUUGUGCUCGUGAGAUGGUGCCUCGCACCAGUAGCGAUGUGGAUGACCAGACCAGCGAUGUGGAUGAAGGUGCUGCACUGCUACAACAGCAUUCCCCAAUAUUUUGCAUUUUAAAAUUACCGGUUGUCGUGUAGGCGUGGUUUCAUUGCAUGUUUCCGGUUGUUGCUGCCCUGCUGUGGGGUCAGGGGACAAAACAUCUAGAGAAAUGUCCUCAAGUCGUUGUGUUUUGGGAUCUGGGCUUUCCUGCUGACACUCCUGAAAUGGUAGUAGGAACUGUCGCUGCUCACAGGAAUUGGAAUGCAUUGUUUCGCAGUGGGCUAUAGUCACAAAAGCAAUUUGUCUGUGUUUUCAUGUUUUUCAGCAGCAGAAGAACCUGACAGCAGAAAGCAGCAGGAAUAAGAAAUGACAUACAGACAUAUACUCACUGCUUUCCGCUUUUGUGGCAGCUUACAGUAGGGAUGGUCCUCAUGGUCAAACAGGCAGUGGAACAGCUGGAGAAGGGACGGCGGGCUCUGCUUGCUCAGCACUGGCUUCAAGCAUUUCCUGGAAAACAUGGAGUGAAGGCAGUCAUACAGAGGGGUGGCUGCACAAACUACUAUGUACUUACCAGGGAAACUGUGUCAGCACCACUUUCAUCUCUUUCAUCUGGCUGGCUGGCUGUUACUUGGCUCUAAAAAAGUUCUUCCAUUAUUAUCUCCUUUUGUAUCAUUUUAAAAGUAAUAAAGAAUAACCGGAUACCUCA
Molecule: RNA transcript, 2284 nt
Organism: Ornithodoros turicata
Lineage: Eukaryota; Metazoa; Arthropoda; Arachnida; Ixodida; Argasidae
Exons: 6
Source: RefSeq, a predicted model, not a curated record